Molecule: ribosomal RNA, 253 nt
Filed under: uncultured bacterium
Lineage: Bacteria
Description: partial 16S ribosomal RNA
Rfam family: Bacterial small subunit ribosomal RNA
Source: RNAcentral
UACGUAGGGGGCAAGCGUUGUCCGGAAUCAUUGGGCGUAAAGAGCGUGUAGGCGGCCCGGUAAGUCCGCCGUGAAAGUCCAGGGCUCAACCCUGGAAUGCCGGUGGAAACUGCCGGGCUGGAGUCCGGAAGAGGCGAGUGGAAUUCCUGGUGUAGCGGUGAAAUGCGCAGAUAUCAGGAGGAACACCAAUGGCGAAGGCAGCUCGCUGGGACGGUACUGACGCUGAGACGCGAACGCGUGGGGAGCAAACAGG